This 4486-nucleotide long non-coding RNA is filed under the name Sus scrofa (pig). Its description in RNAcentral is "lncRNA (ENSSSCG00055002482.1)". The record is from RNAcentral. Lineage: Eukaryota; Metazoa; Chordata; Mammalia; Artiodactyla; Suidae.
UUUUUUUUUUUUUUUUUUUUUGGUCAUCUCCCUGUAAGAUCAGAUUCUCUGAGAAAUAGACCCAGACUCUAAGGUUGGCAUGUAGAAGAUUUGCUGGGAGUGCUCUUGAGAACCACACUGAUGAGGGAUAGGGGAUGAAGGAAGCAGGACUGGCAAGAAGGAGAAGUUGAACUGUAAUGUGAUUGCAACAAAGACCUCAACUGAUCCUGAGAGGACUGCUGGGGCUGGAACGGCACAUUUGUGGUUUGCUAGGAAAGUCUCAUGUAUUCCCAUUGUCCCAGUGCAAUUAGUAAUCAUAUCCAUCCCUUUUAAACUUUGAGUAUUACAGAUGGGAAGAUUAAAAAAAAAAAAAUCCACUCAGUUCUUGCUGGAGCCACACUGGGGCAACUCCCUUUUCCUUUCUUCAUCAAUCAAUUGAUCAGUUAAUACUUCCUGAAUACUUACUAUGUGCUAAUCAGGUAGAUACGGCAAUGGCCAACACAAGACCAGUGCCCAACCACCCACCACACACACCUUCAGGGAAUUUAGAGUUUCACACUAAAUAUAGAUGAUUGGACAUUCUUAUACUGUUGUAAAUUUUAUAGUUGAGAGGGGAGACUGUGGAGACAUUGAAGAGAGUGAAGGUAUUUGGAUUUGGAAAGUACCGGAGUCCUAGCAAGGGAAGAAAAGUUGGUCAGAUGAAAAAAGCAGAAGAGCCUUCUCUUAUAAGUCAUACUAAUGUGUUUGGACAUUUCCCUAAAGAAAAUGUUGAGAUGUUGAAGUGUUUAAAGCAAGGUAAUUAAGCAUCCCUGUGUUUCUCUACAUUUAUGACUUUAUUUCAUACUUGCCAACUGAAAUGCCUCAUACCUCUCUUUGCAUAUCAACACCACUUGCCUGCUUAAGUUCCACCUUCUUGUGGCAAUUUUAUUUCCUGGUAGAUGUGAAUGAAACGUAUCUGAGUCUUUAUUUUGACAUAAUACAUCCUCAGUUUUUAAGAAACCAUUCCUUAGAUGUAUGUCUUAUUUAUCCUUGGUAAGGAUUUAAAAGUAAGCUCAUUGAGAACAGUGACCAUGCAAAGAGGAGGUUGUUGCAUGUAGUAAGUUUCUAAUCAUCAUUUAAACAUUGAAAGGCAGGAUUUUAGCAUGUAUGUGUUAGGUGUUUUCUCUUUGUGUCAGCUACAUAUAGGCUACAGAGUUGGGGCUUACACUGCAAUGGGUAAGAUAGACAAAGAGGAGUUCCCGUCGUGGCUCCGUGGUUAACGAAUCCGACUAGGAACCAUGAGGUUGUGGGUUCGAUCCCUGGGCUCACUCAGUGGGUUAAGGUCUGGUGUUGCUGUGAGCUGUGGUGUAGGUCACAGACAUGGUUCAGAUCCCACGUUGCUGUGGCUUUGGCAUAGGCCGGCGGCUACAGCUUUGAUUAGACCCCUAGCCUGGGAACCUGCAUGUGCCUUUGAUGCAGCCCUAGAAAAGGCAAACAAACAAACAAACAAAAAAAACAAAAAACCAACCAAACAAGCAAAAAAGAUAGAGAACAGGGAUGUAGACACAAGUGCUUUAUUUUUUAAUUUUUUAUUUUUUUAAAAGUUUUAUUGAAGAAUAGUAGAUUUGCAAGGUUGGGAUAAUUUCUUCUGUACAACAAAGUGAUUCAGUCAUACAUAUACACACAUAUGUUCUCUUUCAGGUUCUGUUCCUAUACAGAUUAUCACAGAAUAUUGAGUAGAGUGCUCUGUGCUAUACAGCAGGUCCCUGGUGGCCAAUCAUUCCAUAUACCUGAGGGUACAUAUGUCAAUCCCAAGCCCCCCAGUCCACUCCCCCCUAGACCUGUCUCCUUUGGUAACCAUGUUUUUCAAAGUCUGUCAGUCUCUUUCUGUUCUGCAAAUAAAUUCAUUUGUAUCCUUUUUUUUUUUUUAAGAUUCCACAUAUAAGUGAUAUCAUAUGGUAUUUGUCUUUCACUGUCUAACUUCACUUAGUGUGGUAGUUUCUGGGUCCAUCCAUGUUUCUGCAAAUGGCAUUAUUUCAUUCUUUUUGGUGACUGAGAAAUAUUACAUUAUAUAUAUGUGCCACAUCUUCUUUAUCCAUUCCUCUAUUGAUGGACAUGUAGGUUGCUUCUGUGCCUUGGCUAUUCUAAAUAGUGCUACAGUGGAACAUUGGGGUAUAUGCAUCUUUUAGAUGCCCUGGAGUGGGAUUGCUGGAUCAUAUCGUAUGAAGACAUGGGUGUUUUAACAUGUAGAGUUUAUUGUUAUUCAGCUGUUGUGAGUCCAAGGGAUCAGGAGAUGACGGCCAUUGAAAAAAAUAGUCUGCUACUCACAGCUCCCAAGGGGAAGGGGCUUGCCACACUAUGCAGGGUCAUGAGAAGCAUGAGGGGUAGGUCAGGAGGGAGAAGUAGGGGGAGGAAACAUGGACAAGGGCCUUUACUGUGGUUUCCAUGGGGGGAAAAACAGGUAAGGCAGGCAAACAGGUGUGGGAUUGACUAGUGUAAAUGAUUUCAGCAUGUUUUGGGGUACAGUGGUUGUCCUGACUUGUCUGGUACUUAGAUUUGGGGUGAUUAAGGCAGGAACUUUGGCUUAGAGCAUAAAAGUCAGAGGAGAUGUGUGUGUUUGAGGGAGUUGGGUUUGGGGUUGGUUAGUUUGCAUGUGAAGGGUAUCUCAGAGAUGUAUUGUUUACUCCAGUAAUUGGCUAUCCCUGGGAGAGGCAGUUUCCUCACCAUCAGUAAGACCCCACAUGUCAACGUCAGACUCAAAAGACAAGUUUAAUACAAUGAGCUAGAAACCACAGAAAAACUGAAAGACAGUAUUAAUCCUGAACAGAAUGAAUUUAUUAUGAAGAAAAGUACUGGAGUAGGGCUUGGUUUCAGGCAUCAUGCUGCUGAAAAGCUGUGGGGCCUUGCAAACGUAACUUCAUCUCUCUGAGAAUGUUUCCUAGCAUGAAAAUGAGGGCACUGGAUCAAUAAUUUUCUAACUGCACUUCCUAUAAUCCCACAAAGGCCAUUAAGAGGACCUCAUAGUGCCAGCCAAGAAGUGGACUUUUAGGCUUUUAUCCCAGCCUCAAUCAGAACAGCAAUGACUUUAUUCAUUUUACAUGUUGGGACCAAGUGUUUCUAAGUGUGAAUGCAUGCAUGCACCGCCACCCCAAUAUAGAGCUAAGUCUCAGAACAAUUUAAGGAGGCGACAGCUUUUCCUUUUUCUCCUUUCUAGUUCUCCUUCCAUCAUUGCCUGGGAAAGCAUCCUGAGAGUCUGCAGGGUAGAGGAGAGAGGAUAUCCUGGGCUAGAGCAGAUGGUCAGAGAUAAGCAAAAUCCUCUAUAAUGGUUGCAGUGAGCAAGACCAUGCUCAUGAAUGCACCAAUCACAUGCUGCAGUCUGCCACUCUGCAUAGACUCUCAGUGCUCUCUCCCUACACCUGUCUGUCAUUACAGCUCCUCAUUCAUACGGAAAACAGCGGGAAACCCCAGAUUAUGAAUCCUUGUGCUGAAAAGUGCUAACAGUCUGAUCCACCAUGGACUUGACCACAAGAGUGGAUUGCUAAGAGCCCACAGCAGGGGGCAUUUUUUCUUUUUUUCUGCAACAUCUUUGAAGCCUUUCUUAUUAUCCAUUCCUAUUUGUUGGUGCCCUGUUUCAUAGUUCAUUACCUCUUAGGUGGUCUAUUUUAGUAACCUCCUAUGGAAGGUCUGACCACCUCCAUUCUCUCAUCUCCAAAUCAUCUGGCACUUACUAAUAAUAUAAUACUCACUUUUUAAUACUCUUUCCUCGCUCCUCAUUUACAUCACAAUACAUUCCAUAGGAUCACAGUCUUCUGUAUACUGAUCUUAAUCUACCUUUUUAGAUCUUACCAAAUUAUAUUCACAUUAGCAAUACUAGAUAAUAUGCUCCCUCCUCUGUCUCUCUUAUCCACAUCAGUCAUCCUCUUUUCUUUCUUUCUUCUCCUUUUUGUUUUAUUUUGUUUUUGUUUUGUUUUGUUUUGUUUUUGUUUGUUUUUAGGGCUGUUCUUACAGCACAUGGAGGUUCCCAGGCCAGGGGACAAAUCAGAGGCCACAACUGCUGGCCUGGGCCACAGCCACUUGAGAUCCAAGCCACCUCUUCAGCCUACACCAUAGCUCACUGCAAGGCUGGAUCCUUAACCCACUGAGCAGGGCCAGGGAUUGAGCUGCGUCUUCAUGGAUACUAGUUGGGUUCAUUACCACUGGGCCACAACAGGAACUCUUCAAGUCAUCAAUAUUGGGCUUUUCCCAUAAAACAUCCUGUUAGUUAAAGGAACUUAUUCUAUACUAGAGGUUAAUUUGUAUUCUAGUACUUUGCUUACACAUUGGUUAGUCCGCCCUGGAUGUAAGAGUUUCAUGCUUUUGUAAAGCUUUCACAUUGGUAAGAAUAAGACUUGGUCUAUAAUGAGAUUAUGUUAAAAUUAGUUUAAUACAAUUUUAGAAUCACUAUAAUUUCUCCAUUUCAGAGAACACUACUCUUAUACCUUUCUUUUAUCCAUCUCUCUGACUUUUCAGCCAAGCAACCAAUAGAUGG